Molecule: small nuclear RNA, 107 nt
Organism: Peromyscus maniculatus bairdii (prairie deer mouse)
Lineage: Eukaryota; Metazoa; Chordata; Mammalia; Rodentia; Cricetidae
Source: Ensembl
GUGUUAUCAUCUUGGCAACACAUAUAUAAAAAGCUGGGAUGACACAGAGAUUAGCACGGCUCCUGUGCAAUGAUGGCAUGCAAACUCAUGAGGUGUUCUGUGUAUGU